UUUAGAUCGCUGUUGUUUAUUCACUCACUUUAGAUCGCUGUUGUUUAUUCACUCACUUUAGAUCGCUGUUGUUUAUUCACUCACUUUAGGUCGCUGUAGUUUAUUCACUCGCUUUAGAUCGCUGUAGUUUAUUCACUCGCUGUAGUUUAUUCACUCACUUUAGAUCACUGUUGUUUAUUUACUCACUUUAGAUCGCUGUUGUUUAUUUACUCACUUUAGAUCGCUGUUGUUUAUUUACUCACUUUAGAUCGCUGUUUUUUAGUUACUCACUUUAGAUCGCUGUAGUUUAUUCACUCAUUUUAGAUCGCUGUAGUUUAUUCACUCACUUUAGGUCGCUGCAGUUUAUUCACUCUCUUUAAAUCGCUGUUGUUUAUUCACUCUCUUUAAAUCGCUGUUGUUUAUUCACUCUCUUUAGAUCGCUGUUGUUUAUUCACUCACUUUAGAUCGCUGUUUUUUAGUUACUCACUUUAGAUCGCUGUAGUUUAUUCACUCAUUUUAGGUCGCUGCAGUUUAUUCACUCACUUUAGAUCGCUGUAGUUUAUUCACUCAUUUUAGAUCGCUGUAGUUUAUUCACUCACUUUAGGUCGCUGCAGUUUAUUCACUCUCUUUAAAUCGCUGUUGUUUAUUCACUCUCUUUAAAUCGCUGUUGUUUAUUCACUCUCUUUAGAUCGCUGUUGUUUAUUCACUCACUUUAGAUCGCUGUUGUUUAUUCACUCACUUUAGAUCGCUGUAGUUUAUUUACUCACUUUAGAUCGCUGUUUUUUAGUUACUUUAGAUCGCUGUUGUUUAUUUACUCACUUUA
Myxocyprinus asiaticus (Chinese sucker) is the source of this 802-nucleotide long non-coding RNA. RefSeq lists it as uncharacterized. The record is from RefSeq and is a predicted model, not a curated record. The transcript is spliced from 7 exons. Lineage: Eukaryota; Metazoa; Chordata; Actinopteri; Cypriniformes; Catostomidae.